Colobus angolensis palliatus is the source of this 101-nucleotide microRNA precursor. The record is from Ensembl. Lineage: Eukaryota; Metazoa; Chordata; Mammalia; Primates; Cercopithecidae.
UGAGGCAGGAGAAUUGCUUGAACCCAGGAGGUGGAGGCUGCAGUGAGCCAAGAUUGUGCCACUGCACUCCAGCCUGGGUGACAGAGCGAGACUCCGUCUCA